Molecule: ribosomal RNA, 635 nt
Filed under: Talaromyces aculeatus
Lineage: Eukaryota; Fungi; Ascomycota; Eurotiomycetes; Eurotiales; Trichocomaceae
Description: eukaryotic LSU rRNA
Rfam family: Eukaryotic large subunit ribosomal RNA
Source: RNAcentral
UUGACCUCGGAUCAGGUAAGAGUUACCCGCUGAACUUAAGCAUAUCAAUAAGCGGAGGAAAAGAAACCAACCGGGAUUGCCUCAGUAACGGCGAGUGAAGCGGCAAGAGCUCAAAUUUGAAAUCUGGCCCCUUUGGGGUCCGAGUUGUAAUUUGCAGAGGAUGCUUCGGGUGCGGUCCCCGUCUAAGUGCCCUGGAACGGGCCGUCAUAGAGGGUGAGAAUCCCGUCUGGGAUGGGCGGCCGCGCCCGUGUGAAGCUCCUUCGACGAGUCGAGUUGUUUGGGAAUGCAGCUCUAAGCGGGUGGUAAAUUUCAUCUAAAGCUAAAUACUGGCCGGAGACCGAUAGCGCACAAGUAGAGUGAUCGAAAGAUGAAAAGCACUUUGAAAAGAGAGUUAAACAGCACGUGAAAUUGUUGAAAGGGAAGCGUUGUCCACCAGACUCGCCCGGGGGGGUUCAGCCGGCACGUGUGCCGGUGUACUCCUCUCCGGGCGGGCCAGCAUCGGUUUGGGCGGCUGGUGAAAGGCCCCGGGAAUGUAACACCCUCCGGGGUGCCUUAUAGCCCGGGGUGCCAUACAGCCAGCCUGGACCGAGGCCCGCGCUUCGGCGAGGAUGCUGGCGUAAUGGUGGUCAACGGCC